Brassica rapa (field mustard) is the source of this 1938-nucleotide long non-coding RNA. RefSeq lists it as uncharacterized. Lineage: Eukaryota; Viridiplantae; Streptophyta; Magnoliopsida; Brassicales; Brassicaceae. The record is from RefSeq and is a predicted model, not a curated record.
AUUGUGCAUCAUUAAUAUGAGAAAUAAAUCGACUGUAUAUAUAUAUAGGAGACACCCAAGGUCUUAAAAUACAAACAUUCUUUUUUCAUUCUUUAAAGUAUUAUUCACAAAUCUCUCUUCUCAUACUAUUAAGGUAUUACGACGAUGCUGCUUGUGUGCUAAGAAAAAUGUGUUUAGACGCAAAGGCUUCUCAUCUUUCAUCGACUCUGCCACCCACUUUGCCUUGGAAGUUCAAUAAACCUGUACAGCCUAAUAAAGGACUAACCCGCCAAGGCAAUGGGCACUCAGAAGAGCUACGUUGUGUCAUUGCUGUUAUUCGACAGUAUGUUUUCUUAGCAUAUAAAUCACCUUUAUCUCUUCUAUACUUCUAUCUGUUAAAAUUUUGUUAUUACAUGACAAUGGCGAUCGAACUCCAAAACAUAAGGUGAAACUAAAUGUUACAGAGGAGAAACUGUUAAACCUGAUGCUGAAGUACAAUGGUGGAAAGCCAAGAGCUGAGACAAAACUAAAAAGUGCAUUCCAGUUGCAAGACCUAUUAGAUGCAACAAGAAUGUUAGUUCCCCGUACAAGACCAGGUCGUGAGAGUGAUAGUGAUCCAGAAGACCUUGAACAUGCUGAGAAGCUUCGUCAAGUUAAAGCAGUUCUUGAAGAGGUUCUUUAGUACUUUCUCUUUUUUUUUUUUUGAAUAUAGUCCGGGAAAAAUAUUACAUAGUAUCAUUUUUUUUGUUGAAUAUAUUAUCUUAUAAGUAAGCUCGCAUUAUGCAUUUUUUAUUUAAUUCAUGAGGUUAUUUUCUCAGAGCAGAGAAUCUUUUGGAAUGGCGCAGGGAGGAAAUUUCUCAGGGAUAUACAUGAAGGUUCAACUGAAGCCGCUGAAGUGGGAUGGUGAAGGCGAAGAAGAAAAACCCGUAGAGGCCCUUAUGAUUCUUAAAUACGGCAGUGUUCUAACUCACGCUGGUAGAAAACAGGUGUUUACAUACUCUACCAUUUAAUUUGUCAUUGUUAUAUAUAUAUAUAUAUACAUAUAUAUAUAUAUAUACAUAUAUGUUUUCCAAAUAUGGAAGAAUUGUUUAACAUAUAUGUUUGCUUUAUAUAUAUAUACAUAUAUGUUUUCCAAUACUCAUCAUGUGUUUACUAAUAAUGUUUUUUUAUCUUUCUUGCUUCUCAAGGUUUCUUUGGUCGCAAGGACUCUUCCAUGUUGGAUGGUCUUGAUACUGCCAGCAUUGAAAUGGAAGCUGCCAUGGUUUGUCCCAUGAUUUGAGUCAUUUUUUAAAGUGUGUGUAUCAGUCAAUCAACAAGAUUGAUUUCAUUAUAAUUGAACUAUAUAUGCAGGCUAGAUUGAAUAAGAUUGCAACGUCUGGCAAAAAAAUGAUCAAUGAAUUACUACUAUUUAUUAUUAUCAAAUCAUAGUAGUAAUUAUCAAAUUAAAUAUGCAAAAGGCAAAAUAAAAAGAGAGAGGCAUAACAUAAAAUAAGUUAGCAUAUUAAAUUACAAAUAAGCCAAAAUAUUUCAAAGAAGUCAAACAACCUAGAAAAUUAAAAAUCGAACCAGCUACCUUUUUUUAUUAGACCGGAUAUUAGUUCCACCAAUAAUAGUGGUCAACUUACCCACAUGGUGCAUAUAUGUCAAAUGGACAAAUCUACGUUUAAGUAACCCAACCUGUAAGGGAUUUUGAUUUUUUUGGUGAAUCUCGUGGACUGAUCUAUCGCAGAUUGGGGUUCAUAGGUGAAGUUUCAAAAAAUCAUUAUAAUUUGAUUGGUCAAUUGUUUUUAAUUUUUAUUUAUUUAAUUUAGAUCUAAAAAUUUAAGAUAAGUCUAAAAUCAUUUAACAUCACUUGCCAUAUAAUCAUACGAAUAUUACAAAUAACAAUUUAUGGAAACUAUUCUCGAAAUUAUAGAAAGAUUAAUAAUGUUUUAUUUAUUACUUUUAAUAUUUAUAACA